GGAGGGUGCGAGCGUUGUCCGGAAUCACUGGGCGUAAAGGGCGCGUAGGUGGCCGAGCAAGGUCGCGGUGAAAGCCCGGGGCACAACCCCGGGUCGGCCGUGGCAACUACUUGGCUAGAGCACUGUAGGGGCGGGUGGAAUUCCGGGUGUAGCGGUGGAAUGCGUAGAGAUCCGGAAGAACACCGGUGGCGAAGGCGGCCCGCUGGGCAGGAAGAGGGCGCAAGCUCUCGGCUGACACUGAGGCGCGACAGCGUGGGGAGCAAACAGGAUUAGAUACCCUGGUAGUCCACGCCGUAAACGAUGGGCACUAGAUGCUUGGGGGAGCGACCCUCCGAGUGUCGGCGCUAACGCAUUAAGUGCCCCGCCUGGGGAGUACGGCCGCAAGGCUG
This 389-nucleotide ribosomal RNA is filed under the name uncultured organism. Its description in RNAcentral is "bacterial SSU rRNA". It matches the Rfam family "Bacterial small subunit ribosomal RNA", at positions 527 to 896 of the family's 1533-position model. The record is from RNAcentral.